Molecule: unclassified non-coding RNA, 263 nt
Filed under: plant metagenome
Description: partial contains small subunit ribosomal RNA, internal transcribed spacer 1, and 5.8S ribosomal RNA
Source: RNAcentral
UUUCCGUAAGUGAACCUGCGGAAGGAUCAUUAUUGUAUAACCGAGGUGCGAGGGCUGUCGCUGACCCGAAAGGUCGUGCACGCCCGAGUGCCCUCACACACAUCCAUCUCACCCCUAUGUGCACCACCGCGUGGGUCCCCCAUUGGCUUGUUCGGAGGGGGGCUUACGUUUUCACACAAACUUUGUAUGCAGUGUAGAAUGUAUUUUUUGUUUUUGCGAUCACGCAAUCAAUACAACUUUCAACAACGGAUCUCUUGGCUCUC